RNAcentral lists this ribosomal RNA (467 nucleotides) under uncultured bacterium. Its description in RNAcentral is "partial 16S ribosomal RNA". It matches the Rfam family "Bacterial small subunit ribosomal RNA", at positions 28 to 506 of the family's 1533-position model. The record is from RNAcentral.
GACGAACGCUGGCGGCGUGCUUAACACAUGCAAGUCGAACGGUGAUGCUCCAGCUUGCUGGCGUGGAUCAGUGGCGAACGGGUGAGUAACACGUGAGCAACCUGCCCCAGACUCUGGAAUAAGCGCUGGAAACGGCGUCUAAUACUGGAUACGAAACUGGCCCGCAUGGGCAUGGUUUGGAAAGUUUUUCGGUUUGGGAUGGGCUCGCGGCCUAUCAGCUUGUUGGUGAGGUAAUGGCUCACCAAGGCGACGACGGGUAGCCGGCCUGAGAGGGCGACCGGCCACACUGGGACUGAGACACGGCCCAGACUCCUACGGGAGGCAGCAGUGGGGAAUAUUGCACAAUGGGCGAAAGCCUGAUGCAGCGACGCCGCGUGAGGGAUGACGGCCUUCGGGUGGUAAACCUCUUUCAGCAGGGAAGAAGCGAAAGUGACGGUACCUGCAGAAGAAGCACCGGCUAACUACGU